AGCUAUAAUAUUAUUCACCAGUGUAACUGGGUCAGUGAGGUAUCUAUUCUGUUGCCCCUAUGCCCACAACGUGGCUUCAAAAGGGAAAUACAUUGCUUUUGUUACCACAGAAGCAAAGACUGACAACCCUGAGGUGGAAUUGAAGCCUGGCAUAGACCUACUUGGACCUGUAGACGAGAUACUCUUUGAAAGUUAUGACAGAUUUGUACUUUAAGCUAAGCCUUGGUUGAUUAAAUUUGUUACGGGUUCAGUUUCUAGUUUACAUCUCUUCCUUGCCCCUCUACAGAUUUGUACUCCAAGCUGAGCCUUGGUUGAUUAAACUAAGAAGUUUUUUUAGUUUGAGUGAAUUCAUUUC
Molecule: non-coding RNA, 355 nt
Organism: Camellia sinensis
Lineage: Eukaryota; Viridiplantae; Streptophyta; Magnoliopsida; Ericales; Theaceae
Source: RefSeq, a predicted model, not a curated record